RNAcentral lists this ribosomal RNA (106 nucleotides) under Aotus nancymaae (Ma's night monkey). The record is from RNAcentral. Lineage: Eukaryota; Metazoa; Chordata; Mammalia; Primates; Aotidae.
GUCUACGGCCAUACCACCCUGAACGCGCCUGAUCUCGUCUGAUCUCGGAAGCUAAGUAGGGUCAGUCCUAGUUAGUACUUGGAUGGGAGAAAAAUUGCCAGGGGCA